Myotis lucifugus (little brown bat) is the source of this 182-nucleotide small nuclear RNA. Its record names the gene U4. It matches the Rfam family "U4 spliceosomal RNA". From Rfam's summary of the family: U4 small nuclear RNA (U4 snRNA) is a component of the major U2-dependent spliceosome. The structure of U4 snRNA from yeast and human has been reported. U4 snRNA presents a k-turn RNA motif in the 5p-SL related to recognition of Snu13 protein. The record is from Ensembl. Lineage: Eukaryota; Metazoa; Chordata; Mammalia; Chiroptera; Vespertilionidae.
AGGUUUGCGCAGUGGCAGUAUUGUAGCCAAUGAGGUUUAUCCAAGGCACAAUUAUUGCUAAUAAUAAAAAAAAAUGCCAACAAUGCUGUCCAGCUGGAUUCCCAACAGGUACGGUCAUUUCUAAGUGGUGUGAGGCUGACCUUUUAUUUUUGCUAGGCAGAACAGUUAAAGCUUGUUGCUGC